AGAGUUUGAUCCUGGCUCAGGAUGAACGCUGGCGGCGUGCCUAACACAUGCAAGUCGAGCGAAGCAUACAGGAGGAAGUUUUCGGAUGGAAUCCUGCAUGACUGAGCGGCGGACGGGUGAGUAACGCGUGGGUAACCUGCCUUAUACGGGGGGAUAACAGUUAGAAAUGACUGCUAAUACCGCAUAACGGGGGGAGCCGCAUGGCACCCCCCUGAAAACUCCGGUGGUACAGGAUGGGCCCGCGUCUGAUUAGCUAGUUGGCAGGGUAACGGCCUACCAAGGCGACGAUCAGUAGCCGGCCUGAGAGGGCGGACGGCCACACUGGGACUGAGACACGGCCCAGACUCCUACGGGAGGCAGCAGUGGGGGAUAUUGCACAAUGGGGGGAACCCUGAUGCAGCGACGCCGCGUGGGUGAAGGAGCGUUUCGGCGCGUAAAGCCCUAUCGGCAGGGAAGAAGGAGGACGGUACCUGACUAAGAAGCCCCGGCUAACUACGUGCCAGCAGCCGCGGUAAUACGUAGGGGGCAAGCGUUAUCCGGAUUUACUGGG
This 550-nucleotide ribosomal RNA is filed under the name uncultured bacterium. RNAcentral's name for it is "bacterial SSU rRNA". It matches the Rfam family "Bacterial small subunit ribosomal RNA", at positions 8 to 558 of the family's 1533-position model. The record is from RNAcentral.